RNAcentral lists this ribosomal RNA (466 nucleotides) under uncultured bacterium. RNAcentral describes it as "partial 16S ribosomal RNA". It matches the Rfam family "Bacterial small subunit ribosomal RNA", at positions 29 to 507 of the family's 1533-position model. The record is from RNAcentral.
ACGAACGCUGGCGGCGUGCUUAACACAUGCACGUCGCACGGAAAGGCCUCUUUCGGGGGGUACUCGAGUGGCGAACGGGUGAGUAACACGUGAGUAACCUGCCCUUGACUUUGGGAUAACUUCAGGAAACUGGGGCUAAUACCGGAUAGGAGCUCCUGCUGCAUGGUGGGGGUUGGAAAGUUUCGGCGGUUGGGGAUGGACUCGCGGCUUAUCAGCUUGUUGGUGGGGUAGUGGCUUACCAAGGCUUUGACGGGUAGCCGGCCUGAGAGGGUGACCGGCCACAUUGGGACUGAGAUACGGCCCAGACUCCUACGGGAGGCAGCAGUGGGGAAUAUUGCACAAUGGGUGGAAGCCUGAUGUAGCAACGCCGUGUGCGGGAUGACGGCCUUCGGGUUGUAAACCGCUUUCGCUCAUGACGAAGCUUUGUGUGACGGUAGUGGGUAAAGAAGCACCGGCUAACUACGUG